Molecule: non-coding RNA, 912 nt
Organism: Pelobates cultripes (western spadefoot toad)
Lineage: Eukaryota; Metazoa; Chordata; Amphibia; Anura; Pelobatidae
Source: the annotation of a GenBank genome assembly
GGAGAGCGUUGGGCAGUUUGUGUUUAAUUGUGACUGUUGAAUAAUUUUUUUGUGCUUGUGAAGCCAUACUCUGUCCCUGUUAUGAAAGGAGGUGUAAGAGGCCAGCUCUUGCCAUUCUGUUUUUUGUUUUUGCAUUUGGUGGUGGUAACAAGCAUGUUCUGGAAGCCCAGAGUUAUAGUACUUAUUACCAGCCUGCAUCAAACACACUUAAUUUAGCUUGUAUACUUGCUUCUCCGAAGGCUUCUAACUUUCAUCUGGUGAGCAAACAAUCUUUGAGUCUCUCAGAUUUAUAGAUAUAUAAAUAAUAUUUUUAUCAGCUCUGCACUAUCUAUAUUGGUUAAUAUAAAACUGAGUUUACGUUAAUAAAUAUAACUUAAAUGGUUUACAUUUUGUGAUCUUGUGCAGUGAUAAGUCAAUAUUGGUUAUUUGUAAAUGUUGCUUUAAAGCAUUCUCCAUGUAGUAUUUUCAGUAUAGAUUUUUUUGUUUCCUUAUCGUUUUCAUAAAAGUCUAAAUCUAAAAUUCUGUUCAUUGUUUCAUCACGUGUUUUAUAUAGUUGUAAAAAAAAAUUCUGAUACAAUAUAUGUCUAUUGCGUGUGCACAUAAAUCCCUAUAUGCGUGUGCAUGUAAUUAUCAAGAUCUGUGUCUUCGUUAUACUGGAAUUCCAUACAUUUACAUGCAUUUUAUUAAUUCCAGCUUGAGGCAUUAUUGUGAUGUAAAAUGAAAGCAUCCACAUACCCUUAAAUCUUACCAUCCGAUUAACUCCUCCCCCCGCCUGAAAAAAUAAAAACAUUAAAAUAAAAACAGGUUUAUGUGUAUACUUUAUUCACUUAUCUUCCAAUAUGUUCCAAGUAGGAUAUUUCUUGGUUUCAUUAACACAUUCAUUGCUAAAUAAUCCCUAUAGCAUCUUGCCAC